GCUCCCUUCGUCUAGCGGCCUAGGACGUCGCCCUCUCACGGCGAAAACAGGGGUUCGAUUCCCCUAGGGAGCGCCA
Molecule: transfer RNA, 76 nt
Filed under: Gammaproteobacteria bacterium
Lineage: Bacteria; Pseudomonadati; Pseudomonadota; Gammaproteobacteria
Also listed under: 7 other names
Description: tRNA-Glu
Rfam family: tRNA
About the family: Transfer RNA (tRNA) molecules are approximately 80 nucleotides in length. Their secondary structure includes four short double-helical elements and three loops (D, anti-codon, and T loops).
Source: RNAcentral